GGAAUUCGGUAUUGAUAAGGUUAAGACUGUUAUUCAUAGUGCUACUUCUGAGAAGAUUGAAUUUUUGGGGAUGGAGCUUCAGGCGGUUAAGCCGUCUGUCUUGCACCCACCAAUGUCACAAAAGGCGAUCAGGGCGAGGAAGAAGUACCUCCGGCAGAAAGAAGUUAGAGCUUUGGAGUUAAGAAAUGCUAAAGAGAGUAACAGAAAGAAAUUGGGAAUGAAGAUAUUCAGUCAUGUA
This 238-nucleotide unclassified non-coding RNA is filed under the name Hevea brasiliensis (rubber tree). The record is from RNAcentral. Lineage: Eukaryota; Viridiplantae; Streptophyta; Magnoliopsida; Malpighiales; Euphorbiaceae.